GUUGCAACCUUUCCCCUCACUUUUUCUUUCUUCCUUAUUUUUCUUCAACUUACACAUCACCUUGUCGCACCUGUUGGUAAUCAAGUGUAAGUUACUGGAAGCUGUUAAAUUGAUUCUCCAUUUUUGAUUAUUACAGUGGUAAUGAGAAGGCUAUUAGUGUGAAUUUGGAGGAGUUUAUGGCAGCAUCUUUAACACACCAAUUCAAGUGUGAGCCUAGUGGAGGAAGGACACUUAGUUGCUUAUUGUCAUUAGCACAUUGACCCACCAAAAUCAGUGCAAUUUACACACUUCAAAAGCACAAGGAAUAAGCUCCAUAUUUUGUGCACGUUAACAAUGCCAAAUCUACCGUGAAACACUUGGAGAAAUCAAAAUGCACGUAUUUAGAACAACCAAUGCAUAUUAGUAAAAGCCAGAAUCAUGCGUGAUCUUUCUCUCCUCUAACAUUAGAGCUAAAGGAACUUUUUUUAAAAGAAUCAUGUUGCAAAGGUCAUAAAAUUCCAAUGGAGCACUUGAUCUCUUUUCAAUUCUAUGUUCAUUUCUCAUUCUGAGUAACUGAAUUUCUGUAUUUAAUUAGGGAAUGAGAAAUCUCAACCCUAACUUGUGUAAUAUGAAGUUUUGUUCCUAAUUCAUGUUAACUUAAGAAAGUUC
Cajanus cajan (pigeon pea) is the source of this 648-nucleotide long non-coding RNA. RefSeq lists it as uncharacterized. The record is from RefSeq and is a predicted model, not a curated record. NCBI's taxonomy places the organism in Eukaryota, Viridiplantae, Streptophyta, Magnoliopsida, Fabales, Fabaceae.